CAUCGAAUUGAAAAAAAUUCUCAAAACCCAACUCUAAACUCCAAACCGAUCAGUUGUGGAAGGUUAGUCAUUAACAAAAGAAAAAUAAAAAUAAAAAUUGAGGAACACUGGUAAAUGGUUGGGGUUAGAACGCAAACAGAGGAAUCCCCUUUCAUAUCUUCGGCUCGGCCUCCUCUCCCGAGUCUCCAUCCUCUUAUGUCGCCAUAUUCGUUAUCUCCGCCCGUCGCCGUCGUCUCGGCAACCGACUUAUCUACUAUGGUUGGGGUUAGAAGUUUAGAACGCACACAGACGCACAGAUGAAUUAUUCUGUUUAAAUCCCUUUCCAUCUCUCCGAUUUGAUCUCCUCUCUCGAGUCUCGAUCCUCUCUGUUAUCGACAACCGAUUCAUCAGCAGGUAUUUAUUGGCAUUUAUCUGUUCUCCUGUAAGUUGCAAUGCUGGUGCUGCUACAGUUGCUAUCCGGCGUAAUUUGCAAACCAGAAAAUUAGUAAAUGCUGAUUGAAUUUGGAAUCACUUUGAAGUAAUUUGAGUGAAUAAUAUAAUCAGAAAUGGCUGAGGAUGAAGCCCCUCCAAUUAGGUUGAUGAAUUUCGUGUCCCAAGCAGAGUUAGAUGUAGCAAAGAGUAGUCCGGGUGAAAGGCUGGAAGAUGGGACUGCUCAAAGAGACCAUCCUCUUUUCGAGCUGCUUGUUGAUUUUUACUUGGGUAAUGAUAAAGUCUAUGGCGCUGAUUCUGCAGAAGCCUAAAACAUAGUCAGAUGACCUGGCUAUGCACAGCUGGUGGAUAUAUAAAGAGCGGAGCAGUUGUUGUUUUCAGAUUUUUCAAGGGUUUCUUUCUGGAUAUGUAGCUUAGUUUAUCAGUAUGUAAUUGUAUGACCUUUCUUUUUUGUUGUGUCUUAUCUUAUGUUUGCCUUUACCACUUGGUACCAAAGAUUGGUGACUAUGAAUAUACUGUUUUUGCACCUCCUUUUUUGUUGGGGGGUUAUGGUGUGUUGUCGUCCCACACAUCCUUUACAGUUUCGUCGUUGUAGGUAUCAAAAUUGUCAUGUUGUUUGCUCAAUUUCUUGUCUGGUAUGAUACUAUGAUGUGACUGGUUCAAUAAUGGAAGUUUAACAUUAUUGGUUGAA
Molecule: long non-coding RNA, 1120 nt
Organism: Spinacia oleracea (spinach)
Lineage: Eukaryota; Viridiplantae; Streptophyta; Magnoliopsida; Caryophyllales; Amaranthaceae
Exons: 4
Source: RefSeq, a predicted model, not a curated record